RNAcentral lists this non-coding RNA (45 nucleotides) under Trichobilharzia regenti. Lineage: Eukaryota; Metazoa; Platyhelminthes; Trematoda; Strigeidida; Schistosomatidae. The record is from RNAcentral.
AUCCAGCCGACGAGUCCCAAAAAGGACGAAAUGCGCAUCCUGGAU